Molecule: long non-coding RNA, 208 nt
Filed under: Nicotiana benthamiana
Lineage: Eukaryota; Viridiplantae; Streptophyta; Magnoliopsida; Solanales; Solanaceae
Description: long non-coding RNA (NBEN_LNC020920)
Source: RNAcentral
UCAAUUUCUACAUCUUGCAAAUUAGGCGAUGAUUCAGAAACAUGUGUUAUUGGGUCAUUACUAUUACUACCAGAAGCUACAGGACUACCUCUUUUUUUUUACUUCCACCCUUACCAGUAACUUUUCUACACGCUCUUUUAGCAGUAUUCAACAUAUUGUAAAAAUUAAUAUAUUAGCUAAAAUCAAAUAUGCAAUUAAAAUAUUAAAU